RNAcentral lists this ribosomal RNA (657 nucleotides) under uncultured Lachnospiraceae bacterium. Its description in RNAcentral is "bacterial SSU rRNA". It matches the Rfam family "Bacterial small subunit ribosomal RNA", at positions 66 to 735 of the family's 1533-position model. The record is from RNAcentral. Lineage: Bacteria; Bacillati; Bacillota; Clostridia; Lachnospirales; Lachnospiraceae.
ACAGAUUACUUCGGUUUGAAGUCUUUUAUGAGUGAGUGGCGGACGGGUGAGUAACGCGUGGGUAACCUGCCUCAUACAGGGGGAUAGCAGCUGGAAACGGCUGGUAAUACCGCAUAAGCGCACGGUAUCGCAUGAUACAGUGCGAAAAACUCCGGUGGUAUGAGAUGGACCCGCGUCUGAUUAGCUGGUUGGUGAGGUAACGGCCCACCAAGGCGACGAUCAGUAGCCGACCUGAGAGGGUGACCGGCCACAUUGGGACUGAGACACGGCCCAGACUCCUACGGGAGGCAGCAGUGGGGAAUAUUGCACAAUGGAGGAAACUCUGAUGCAGCGACGCCGCGUGAGUGAAGAAGUAGUUCGCUAUGUAAAGCUCUAUCAGCAGGGAAGAUAGUGACGGUACCUGACUAAGAAGCUCCGGCUAAAUACGUGCCAGCAGCCGCGGUAAUACGUAUGGAGCAAGCGUUAUCCGGAUUUACUGGGUGUAAAGGGAGUGUAGGUGGCCAGGCAAGUCAGAAGUGAAAGCCCGGGGCUCAACCCCGGGACUGCUUUUGAAACUGCAGGGCUAGAGUGCAGGAGGGGCAAGUGGAAUUCCUAGUGUAGCGGUGAAAUGCGUAGAUAUUAGGAGGAACACCAGUGGCGAAGGCGGCUUGCUGGACU